UACGUAUGGUGCAAGCGUUAUCCGGAAUGACUGGGUGUAAAGGGAGCGUAGACGGUUGUUCAAGUCUGAUGUGAAAGCCCUCGGCUUAACUGGGGGAGUGCAUUGGAAACUGAAGGACUAGAGUAUCGGAGAGGCAAGUAGAAUUCCUAGUGUAGCGGUGAAAUGCGUAGAUAUUAGGAGGAACACCAGUGGCGAAGGCGGCUUGCUGGACGAAAACUGACGUUGAGGCUCGAAAGCGUGGGGAGCAAACAGG
RNAcentral lists this ribosomal RNA (253 nucleotides) under uncultured bacterium. RNAcentral's name for it is "partial 16S ribosomal RNA". It matches the Rfam family "Bacterial small subunit ribosomal RNA", at positions 524 to 776 of the family's 1533-position model. The record is from RNAcentral.